CAGACACCGAGUGACCUGACUGAACCCUCUGGAGACCAUGAAUGGAAUGAUAGAUACACUUCAUCCUUACAACAGACACCAAGUGACCUGACUGAACCCUCUGGAGACCAUGAAUGGAGUGAGAGAUCCACUUCAUCCUUUCAACAGACACCAAGUGACCUGACUGAACCCUCUGGAGACCAUGAAUGGAGUGAGAGAUCCACUUCAUUCUUACAACAGACACCAAGUGACCUGACUGAACCCUCUGGAGACCAUGAAUGGAAUGAUAGAUACACUUCAUCCUUACAACAGACACCAAGUGUUCCGAUCCUGAUGAAACCUUUUGAAGAUCAAGAAAGGAGUGGAAGAUCCACUUCUUCCUUACAACAGGUUACUACGUCUUAUCAUUAUAUACUAGGUUUGAGUUUUCAGCUUUCUUUGACAAACACAGGAGAAGUUAUAAAUCAGAAACAUGGACUCUCCAUGAUUUCAGUCGUCAUGUCCUCAUAUUUCUUCAGACCUGAAAAACCUGAGUGUGUUUCAGGUGACAUGACUUUUGUCUUAACCUAACUCUGGAGAGCCUGUGUUCGAAUGUCCCCAUAUUGCUGUUCCACAGAACUGAACAGUGUUAACUUUCUAUUGUGUGGUAUAUUCAUCCCAAACUCUCCCGUGAGCAAUGUUCAAUGAUAAUUAAUAUUUAUUCAUUUCUUAACUGGUCAGAAUGAAGAAUGCUGAAUAUUUUGACACCGUGAUGUUAUGUUGCAGACACCAAGUGACCUGACUGAACCCUCUGGAGACCAUGAAUGGAGUGAGAGAUCCACU
Hippocampus zosterae (dwarf seahorse) is the source of this 801-nucleotide long non-coding RNA. RefSeq lists it as uncharacterized. The transcript has 5 exons. NCBI's taxonomy places the organism in Eukaryota, Metazoa, Chordata, Actinopteri, Syngnathiformes, Syngnathidae. The record is from RefSeq and is a predicted model, not a curated record.